This is a long non-coding RNA of Leopardus geoffroyi (Geoffroy's cat), 2546 nucleotides long. RefSeq lists it as uncharacterized. NCBI's taxonomy places the organism in Eukaryota, Metazoa, Chordata, Mammalia, Carnivora, Felidae. The transcript is spliced from 2 exons. The record is from RefSeq and is a predicted model, not a curated record.
AGAGGCAUUCAAGUGAAGGAUGGCUUGUCAGAAACAUUGAAGCAAAGCCUUGGAUGUCAGAGGGGUGGACAAGAAGACCUUAAGGGUCUCCCAAUCCUGUGGUAGAGUGGUUCUGUUUUUCUGGGAUUUUCUCUCAAACCUGCUCCCAGGGGUUGGAAGGACAGAGGACAAGAAAUAUGUCACCACUUCCUCUCUGUGCUGUCAGAUUGUUGUCUGUGUGCCUAUUUUAGCAGGCACAGCUGUGAUUAAUGUUCCUCUUUUUAGAGACUAUACACACACGCACACAUACGUGCGCGCGCACACACGCACACAAAGAGUUGAUUUUGCCCUUGAAGUGGAGUGGAUGACAGCUCUGUUCCUCCGAGCCUCGCAGACCACUCUGCUGCUAAUGGACUGUCAGCCUCUUUCAUUCCGGGCUCGACUGUGUGCCGGCUGGCGUAAAAGCGGCGCCUCUGGCAAGAACCUGGCACUUGGGUCGCGGCCAGUUGACAUUUGUGAUUUGCCCUUCUUCAAAUCAGUACAGCCCUCCCACCCACUUUGUACACGGGGCUCAGCCAGUUGGUCUACUCUUGGCAGUGCUGGUGUCGAGGGAGCAGACAAGGCUGAAGGUGGGGGUGCCAGAGAAGGGUGCUUGGGAGGCAUCAAAGAGGGACCAGCCGUCAUAAUUUCCCUGGCCUCGCCACUGCUCGUCGGUGCUGGAACCACUCCCAAGGGUGAGUGAUGGGGCCGGCUGCAGGCCCACAGAGGUGGCCUGGGGCCCCGGCAGGGGGUUCCCAUCAUGGAGGGACCGCCACCUCCUGGCUGCGGGUGCCCCAGGGAGGGAGGCACACAGAGAGCCUGAGGCAGAAGAGACGAACUGUUGAAGGUUGAGGAGGCACCACGGGCUGGGCACUGGCCUCUAAACUUCAAGGUGAGCGCCUCCCUGCGUCCCCCACCCCUGCCCGGGCCCUCAGCCCUGCACCCUCCAACGCCUCCAGGGGGCCGACUCUACAGGGACGGUAAUUAAGCAGCUUGUCAAACCUGCUCUGGUCAGUCUCAUCCCCCACAGUGACACGGGAAGGUCCGUUCAGGUUACAUUUCUACUCCUUCGCCCACCAGCCUACGUUCAUUUUCUCUGUUCCUUGCAGUCCCCACCCAGCCACUGACUCAGAGUGCCCACGUCAGGAACGUGGGUCACUCUGCUUCCCGAGAGUGUGGCUGGCUGCCAAGCGGAGGGAGGGGUGGGGGAGACCGAAGGAGCCCCUCCUUACCUUCAGAGUGAGCAGCCCCCGGAGCUGAUGGUCAUACAGUGCUGGGGACACAGAAGACGCAGUGGGAGGAGGCUGAGUGAGGCGUGUCACCUAAAGAAUAAACACUGGCCACCACGGUGCCCUGAGGGUAGAGAAGGGGGUGCUAGAUGGAGCUAAUCAUUGAGGCUUCCAGGAAGGCUUCCGGGAAGAGGUGGCCAUGAGGGUGAUUAUUUCCUUGGAAGCUGAGGUGCUGGUGGACCCCGGCUGGAGAAAGUCCCUUGACCGCUGCCCACGCGUUUGGGUGAAGCUUCAUCAGCCUCUCACUGAGGCAGGUGUGCUAAGGGCCAUGACACCACCACCAAGGUCAAAGCCAGAAGGAUGAAAAACCCUGACACCUCCUUGCUGAGAAACAAACAGGAGGGGACGGUGGGGCAUUUAAUCAGCCAGGGCUGCCAAUACCCAAUCAAGAUGAAUGGCCUUGAGAGAUGCAGCCCAGGAACAGCCCUGUGUUAGGAGAUGGGAGACCGCACUAGGGCCCCUGGAAGGCCGGAUUCCAGAGAGAUGCCAACGGGGUUGGAGGUCACCACUGUCACCAACUGUCACCAACCAGGGCUUUCCGGUUGACGCUUCUCUGGCCGAGGACCUUUACUGAGCCUGCUCUGGGCCGGCUGUGUCUCAGGACUGAUGAUAAAUGGGGCGCCCCCCCCCCCCUGCUCUUUAAGGACUCAGGUGAGCGGGUGGAUACAGCACACGGGGAUAAGUUAUUCUCAUGCUGUCGCAGGUGCCAUAAUAGGGGCCCAAAGGGUGUGGGGGGGGAAUGAGGGUGGCAGAGAUUAAUUGCUCCAGACCCGGAACACCAGUUCACUGUUGAGGUGAACCUUUUUCGCUCGGGCUUCUGACCGCUGGUCUUUUCUGGCGCCACCUGUAGGCGGCUGCGGGGCAAGCCAGUCACUCACAAUUAAUUGAGCACCUACAAACUGUGUUACACCCUGAGCUAGGCUCGGGGGGAUAGACCCAGUCCUAUCCUCAGGAAUUGCACAAUCCCAGAGGAAAGGCAGACAAACGGGCGCUCCUUGUAUCACUCGUGGAGUCUGGCGGCACUGAGUUUACUCAAGUCCAGGCUGUAUCGCUUGCCUACCAGGCGUGCUCAGCCACGCUAUGUAACCCCUUUAAGGGGGUCCUUUCCCCCAAAUGUACCGUGGAGAGAGGUAACAUCUCUCCUUGAGCUCCCGUCAAAGUUCAACAAGGGAAGAACAUCCGGGAAGUAUCUGAAGUCUGUUUUACCAGGGUCGCCAUCAAAUUACAAACAUUUGCUCA